UGGGUUAAAGGCCUGUGCCACCACGCCUG
This 29-nucleotide non-coding RNA is filed under the name Mus musculus (house mouse). The record is from RNAcentral. Lineage: Eukaryota; Metazoa; Chordata; Mammalia; Rodentia; Muridae.